AUUGAACGCUGGCGGCAGGCCUAACACAUGCAAGUCGAACGGUAACAGGAAGCAGCUUGCUGCUUUGCUGACGAGUGGCGGACGGGUGAGUAAUGUCUGGGAAACUGCCCGAUGGAGGGGGAUAACUACUGGAAACGGUAGCUAAUACCGCAUGACGUCGCAAGACCAAAGAGGGGGACCUUAGGGCCUCUUGCCAUCGGAUGUGCCCAGAUGGGAUUAGCUAGUAGGUGGGGUAACGGCUCACCUAGGCGACGAUCCCUAGCUGGUCUGAGAGGAUGACCAGCCACACUGGAACUGAGACACGGUCCAGACUCCUACGGGAGGCAGCAGUGGGGAAUAUUGCACAAUGGGCGCAAGCCUGAUGCAGCCAUGCCGCGUGUAUGAAGAAGGCCUUCGGGUUGUAAAGUACUUUCAGCGGGGAGGAAGGGAGUAAAGUUAAUACCUUUGCUCAUUGACGUUACCCGCAGAAGAAGCACCGGCUAACUCCGUG
RNAcentral lists this ribosomal RNA (490 nucleotides) under uncultured bacterium. Its description in RNAcentral is "partial 16S ribosomal RNA". It matches the Rfam family "Bacterial small subunit ribosomal RNA", at positions 30 to 507 of the family's 1533-position model. The record is from RNAcentral.